CAAGAAGUGUGUGUGUAUGUGUGCGUGUGUGUAUGUAUGCAUGUGUGUGUGCGUGUGUGUAUGUGUGCAUGUGUGUGCAUGUGUGCGUGUGUGUAUGUGUGUGCAUGUGUGCGUGUGUGCAUGUGUGCGUGUGUGUAUGUGUGCGUGUGUGUGUGUGUGCGUGUGUGUAUGUGUGCGUGUGUGUAUGUGUGCGUGUGUGUAUGUGUGCGUGUGUGUAUGUGUGUGCGUGUA
RNAcentral lists this long non-coding RNA (231 nucleotides) under Homo sapiens (human). Its description in RNAcentral is "HSALNT0374752". The record is from RNAcentral. Lineage: Eukaryota; Metazoa; Chordata; Mammalia; Primates; Hominidae.